UUUACUUUAAUAUCAAAUCUAUUGUUCUAAGUUUUCCUUUUUAUGAAAUCGCAUCAUAUAUAUAAUAUUUUCGUUUUAAAAUUUAUAAAUAUUUAUAUUAUUUGAAAAUAUAAAAGGAAGCUUAAAUAAUAAGAAAUUUAUCCAUUAAAGAUAUCUUAGUUUAUGUUAUUUAAAUUGUAUUGUAAUAAUUUGAAAAAUAGAU
Molecule: long non-coding RNA, 202 nt
Filed under: Brassica rapa (field mustard)
Lineage: Eukaryota; Viridiplantae; Streptophyta; Magnoliopsida; Brassicales; Brassicaceae
Description: long non-coding RNA (BRAP_LNC000652)
Source: RNAcentral